Molecule: long non-coding RNA, 1862 nt
Filed under: Trifolium pratense (red clover)
Lineage: Eukaryota; Viridiplantae; Streptophyta; Magnoliopsida; Fabales; Fabaceae
Description: long non-coding RNA (TPRA_LNC014257)
Source: RNAcentral
UAACAUCCAAAUUCAAUUAAUAGAGAAAUAGUAAUUAGAGAGAAUUAUUAGGGAAGCUGAAUUUGAUGCUCUGUGAUUCUAGCUGCAAGAUAAACUAUGGAAUUUAAGAAAUUAUUAUGGAAAAGUGAUUUAGCAACCUUAAUGAACUGUUGUUGUUGCUGUACUGUAGGCUGAUGUUGUUAAAACUGAUUGGUAUGAUUAGAAUGGUUAUAGCUGAAUUCUAUGAAAUUUUAGUGAAAAAUUCGUAUGACAGUACAGGUACUAAUCGAGUCAUAGCUGUUGCUGUGUAGCCCAGACUUGUGUAAUUGUUUGAUUUUCGGAUUCUACACUUAAUUCCCUUCAGUUUGGAUAUACGUUUGAUAUGUUUUGGAUUAGAAAUGGAUUCGGAAAACGCCUUUGAAGUUUGAAUAUUGAUGCUGGAAACUGCAUACGGGUUUUGGCAUGGAUUUUGUAGAAUAAGCUAAAAUGUGUGUUUAAGUUGGGUGAAUGAUUCCAUAACUGAAUAUGUAUGCUUAAUUGGCUGAGUAAGAGCUUGGUUUGAAGUUGAAAUGAAAAAAUUAGAGGUUGGAAGUCAGUAGCAGUUUUAUGCAGAAAAUCUGUCACGAGUUUGCAUAUGUGAGCAGCACCAUCGGAUGGUUCUAAGCGGGCGAGAUGGCUCGGUAUUGCUAGCAAUUCCAGGUGGGUUCCCUUAGAGCCUUAAACCCUAGUUAGUUUAGCUCCAUUAGUUUCCCCAAAUAAAAUAAAGGCAUGAUAACAUUAGUUCAGUUAGAAUAUUAGUUCCCCAAUUUAUCAGUUGCAUGACAAUACUAGGAUUUAAGGAAUUUAUUGUGUGAGAAUGGUUAAAUCCCCAAACUAUUCUCCGUUCUGAAUAUAUGGACUAAUUACAGUGUCUGAAAUUAGGAAUAUAUGGAUUGUAGGUGAUUAUUGGCUUGAUUUCUCAUAAAAAUGCAAAGAGAGUUUUAUACUGAUGUACUCACUUAGCGAUGAAUGACUUCGCUGGGNNNNNNNNNNNNNNNNNNNNNNNNNNNCGAGAAUGUCAUAAUAGAACACUGCAGAAUUUUACUUUAACCGCCAAAUCACUCGUUUUAUAUUCUUAUUCUUCCUAAUGUAUUUCUCUGGACAGUGUAACAUCGUUACAUAUUUAGAAUGUUAAUCACUAUUCAUGAAAUUAAGUAUCAGGAAUCAGGACAAUUUAGAGAUACCCUGGGAGGGAAUUCAUGGGUAGGAUAACAAUCAGGAUUAUUAAGUUAAGGUAAGAAAGUCAAUCAAUUAUGGUGGUUACUUAUGUACCAUGUUAUGGGAUUCCUUAGAAUCCAAUUAUGUUAUGAUUGUAAGCUUCAGUCGUGUCGAUGUAUAUUAUUAUCGCAGACAGACAUGUCAGGCCUCUGAGACCGGCUCACCUCAGAGUGUCUUUGUUAUGAAUAAAAUGAACAAGAUAAAUAAUUUGUGUUACACCUUUACGUAUUAUGUUAUGAAAUUAUGUUAUGUAAAUCAUGUUUAGAGAUUGACUAUUAGAUCAGAGAACUAUUAGUUCAUCAGUUGCCCCGAUGUAGACACCAAUUGGGUAGUAGGAAUCCACUGAGACGAAGUGACUGUUCUCAUCCCCCACUUAUUUGAUUUCAGAUAAACAGGUUGAUCAAAUGGUCUGCAAGCAUGAAGUUCAAAUACUUGGAUUAUGCUAGUUGAGCUGACGUCAUGUUAUCUUAUAUUUGUAUAAGAUUUAGUUUCUUUAUGUUUUCCGUUGUUAGCUCAAUUUAGUAUUAAUCUCUUGGAAUUUUUUAAUCCUAUUUAUGUAUUCGGACAAUAUGUAAUGAAAAUUUAAUGUUUCCCGAUUCAGUUAUGUACACUCUUGUCGAUAUUCU